This is a long non-coding RNA of Ornithodoros turicata, 939 nucleotides long. RefSeq lists it as uncharacterized. The record is from RefSeq and is a predicted model, not a curated record. Lineage: Eukaryota; Metazoa; Arthropoda; Arachnida; Ixodida; Argasidae. The transcript has 3 exons.
CGAGUUCUUUCCGUCUGGAGCUUCCCGAAUCACCUCCGAUCUGUCACUUCGGUGAGCGAUCGGCGUGAAGUAAAUUUAGCAGAAGGAGUGAAAGGUCGACGCAAAAGGCCCGGAGACGGCGGCGAUGAGUCUACGCUUCGCCCGAUGCCCGUUUCAUAAACAUGGUGUUGCUCGCAGCCGGAAUCCCGAAAGCCACAAGAAACUCGAACCCGGACAUGAAUUUCACGCCAACAACAGUGGAAUAGGCCCUUCUGUAGGCAACAUAACAUAUCGCCGCAAGUGAAGAGCUGAAUGAGUCACCACAAUACACCAAGUAGCUGUUCUUCCAGCGACAACUGCAGCACGGCAGCAAUCAACACUGAAAAGCAAAACAAGCUCCAGUGAAAACACAAAGUGCCGAUCAAGAGCCUCAGUCAGAGUGUCAGUAAGGAGUGCUCCAGCGUAUUUCUCCCAUUUUGUGAUAAGCUACCAAUGCUUGUUUGUGUUGCACAUGUUUAAACCAGUUCAGUCACACGAGUAUACCCAAUGUUUAUUUAUUACUAUAUUGUACAUAGUAUUUAUUAGUACUCAUUCCUAAUAUACACAAUAUUUAUCGAAGCACAUCUUAAAUUACGUAAUGUAAUGUAAGAUGUCAACUCGUUCUUACACUCUCGGGACUGUUUAUUUUCUGAACGCAAAAUUCAUGCAAAAUAAUUUCAACGUAAAUCUGGCUGUUAUCAAUUCUGAGCUCUGUGGACAUCUUGAUGAGUGUCACAGUUGUUGUGCUGACAUAUACUCUGCCUUCGUGCUCAGGAAAGAAAGAAAUUUAGGCAAAAUCUUUAUUCUUGAACAAGUGGAGGUUGCAAGUAGGGAUAAUUGUGUUAUUUGUUCCCAUUUCCUUCGCUAUUGAGGUUUCUUGCUUCAAAAUGUAUUGGUAUUGAUUAAAAUAUUUUUCUUUAA